This 765-nucleotide long non-coding RNA is filed under the name Sinocyclocheilus grahami. RNAcentral's name for it is "lncRNA (ENSSGRG00000009082.1)". Lineage: Eukaryota; Metazoa; Chordata; Actinopteri; Cypriniformes; Cyprinidae. The record is from RNAcentral.
CCUCUCGCGAGAUCUCGGCAAAAAGUCUCACGAUUUAUUUCCAGAACAUGAUGCAUGAUGGGAUACACUAAGCCUCGAAUAGCGCUCCGGAGCGGUAUACGAGAUAGUGUGGGUUUAGUGUGCUUUAAGGGCACUGCACUCUGGCGUUUUUAAGACCUGGGACAGUCUUGCGCACUUACUUCCUAUCGCGCGCACGCCCUCUCAAGUGGCCAAGACCGCAAGUGUGGGUAUUUGGACAAGGGGGAAGACUGCGAGGGUUCAGGGUGCCAUUUGGAAUAUUUCAUAGAAAAAUGGAAACCAAACCUGCAAAAUCGUGUCGUUUGUCAUAUCCAAGUUCACCACAGGUGUGCUGCGUCUGAGCCACUUCUGCAGAUUUUCCCUGUGAAAAUGUUAUCGGCCAUCUCGCCUGUACCGUUGACUCGUGGGGAGUGGCAGUGGUCAAAGGUGUGGUUAACGACUUAGCUCGUCACCCCAAGCUCUUGGUCACACACUCCUCAAAGUGGCAUCGCCUGAAGGGCACUGAUAACACGCAUCCUGCGCUUCUGUUGGUUGAUGUCCAGAGAACCGGCAAUCUCACACGGAAGAAUCUGUACAUUAGAGGAAAAGGAGCUGUGGUUCUUCGCCCUCGACUAGCCAAGCAGAACAACUGGGGGUUACGACAGACUGCGAAGGGGCCCAAGGAUGGAUUCCAAAGGGGUUAAUGCCACAACACUGGUAAAUUCUCCGCCUAAAUCCAAUUCAUUCUAUAGAUUUUGGAUGGAUUUU